UGCAGCCGCUCCCUGCUACGCCCGCGCUUCUUCUCUUUCUCGCGUUACGUUGUCUCUUUCCAUCCGCCGCACGACCGUCCGGUAUCGCGUAGUUUCCGUCUCGUUCGUUUCCUCACCGCGUCUCGUUCGCUCCUUUGCGCACACACGCCCGCUGUACAUACGCACGACGCGUUUUACUUUUCGAACCCGGACCGGCCGAGCAGCCCCGCGCGAAUAUAAUUCGAGGUGGCCUGUUUGUGUGUGUGUGUGUGUGUGCACAUGUACAUUUCGCGAUACGCAGCCCAGGCGAAUUUAGCGAGGAAUCAUACGAAGGUGACGCCAGAAGUCGUGCCUCUCUCGUAUUUGUUUCAUAUUCGGAAAUUGCACGCGCAAAUUACUAAUUCAAAUUAGUAGUAGAGAUUUUCUUUGGACAAUGUCGACGAGACUCGGACACGCAGCCUUCGACAGUUAUUAUUUAUCUAUAGUUACGACCGAGAGAUAUUUACACGCAGAAGAGUUCAGCUCGUCGUCCCGGUAUACGCACGACGAAAUCCGUGGACCAUGUUUCUAGCUCUCGGAUUCUAAGCAGCAAGUCGACGAACCAAGCGGUUAAACCC
Linepithema humile (Argentine ant) is the source of this 596-nucleotide non-coding RNA. The record is from RefSeq and is a predicted model, not a curated record. Lineage: Eukaryota; Metazoa; Arthropoda; Insecta; Hymenoptera; Formicidae.